CCUACGGGCGGCAGCAGUGAGGAAUAUUGGUCAAUGGCCGGAAGGCUGAACCAGCCAAGCCGCGUGAAGGACGAAGGUGCCAAGCAUUGUAAACUUCUUUUGUCAAGGGACAAAAUCAGGCUCGAGAGCCUGACCGAGGGUACUUGAAGAAAAAGCAUCGGCUAACUCCGUGCCAGCAGCCGCGGUAAUACGGAGGAUGCGAGCGUUAUCCGGAUUUAUUGGGUUUAAAGGGUGCGUAGGCGGACUGUUAAGUCAGCGGUAAAAGCCCGGGGCUCAACCUGUGUAUGGCACUUGAUACUUGCAAGCUGGAAUGCGGUAGAGGUAAAGGGAAUUCCUGGUGUAGCGGUGAAAUGCUUAGAUAUCAGGAGGAACAUCGGUGGCGUAAGCGCUUUACUGGGCCGUAAUUGACGCUGAGGAACGAAAGCCAGGGUAGCAAAUGGGAUUAGAUACCCUUGUAGUC
RNAcentral lists this ribosomal RNA (460 nucleotides) under uncultured bacterium. RNAcentral's name for it is "partial 16S ribosomal RNA". It matches the Rfam family "Bacterial small subunit ribosomal RNA", at positions 338 to 795 of the family's 1533-position model. The record is from RNAcentral.